CCUACGGGGGGCAGCAGUGGGGAAUAUUGCACAAUGGGGGAAACCCUGAUGCAGCGACGCCGCGUGAGUGAAGAAGUAAUUCGUUAUGUAAAGCUCUAUCAGCAGGGAAGAAAAUGACGGUACCUGAGUAAGAAGCCCCGGCUAACUACGUGCCAGCAGCCGUGGUAAUACGUAGGGGGCAAGCGUUAUCCGGAUUUACUGGGCGUAAAGGGAGCGUAGGCGGCAGUGCAAGUCUGGAGUGAAUGGCGUGGGCUCAACCCCCGGACUGCUCUGGAAACUGUACGGCUGGAGUGCAGGAGAGGUAAGUGGAAUUCGUAGUGUAGCGGUGAAAUGCGUAGAUAUUAGGAGGAACACCAGUGGCGAAGGCGGCUUACGGGCCUGUAACUGACGUUGAGGCUCGAAAGCGUGGGGAGCAAACAGGAUUAGAUACCCUGGUAGUC
Molecule: ribosomal RNA, 440 nt
Filed under: uncultured bacterium
Lineage: Bacteria
Description: partial 16S ribosomal RNA
Rfam family: Bacterial small subunit ribosomal RNA
Source: RNAcentral